GACGAACGCUGGCGGCGCGCUUAACACAUGCAAGUCGAACGGUGAACCGGGCUUCGGCCCGGGGAUCAGUGGCGAACGGGUGCGUAACACGUGGGCAACCUGCCCCUCACUCUGGGAUAACCCCGGGAAACCGGAGCUAAUACCGGAUACUCCGACCGGUCCGCAUGGUCCGAUCGGGAAAGGUCCGCCGGUGAGGGAUGGGCCCGCGGCCUAUCAACUUGUUGGUGAGGUAACGGCUCACCAAGGCGACGACGGGUAGCUGGUCUGAGAGGACGACCAGCCACACUGGGACUGAGAUACGGCCCAGACUCCUACGGGAGGCAGCAGUGGGGAAUCUUGCGCAAUGGGCGAAAGCCUGACGCAGCGACGCCGCGUGGGGGACGAAGGCCCUCGGGUUGUAAACCCCUUUCGGCAGGGACGAAGCGAUCGUGACGGUACCUGCAGAAGAAGCCUCGGCUAACUACGUGCCAGCCGCCGCCGUAA
Molecule: ribosomal RNA, 483 nt
Filed under: uncultured bacterium
Lineage: Bacteria
Description: partial 16S ribosomal RNA
Rfam family: Bacterial small subunit ribosomal RNA
Source: RNAcentral